Molecule: ribosomal RNA, 463 nt
Filed under: uncultured bacterium
Lineage: Bacteria
Description: partial 16S ribosomal RNA
Rfam family: Bacterial small subunit ribosomal RNA
Source: RNAcentral
GAUGAACGCUGACAGAAUGCUUAACACAUGCAAGUCGAUGGGGAAGUGGUGCUUGCACCAUGGUAACCAUGGCGGACGGGUGAGUAACGCGUAAGGAACUUGCCUGCGGGACUGGGAUAACAGCAGGAAACUGCUGAUAAUACCGGAUAAGGUCAUUAAGCUGCAUAGCUUAGUGAUGAAAGGAGACGCCUGCGGAGAGCCUUGCGUCCUAUUAGCUAGUUGGAGGGGUAACGGCCCACCAAGGCGAAGAUAGGUAGCCGGCCUGAGAGGGUGGACGGCCACAAGGGGACUGAGAUACGGCCCUUACUCCUACGGGAGGCAGCAGUGGGGAAUAUUGGACAAUGGGGGCAACCCUGAACCAGCAAUUCUGUGUGCACGAAGACGGUUUUCGGAUUGUAAAGUGCUUUCAGCAGGGAAGAAGGAAGUGACGGUACCUGCAGAAGAAGCGACGGCUAAAUACGUG